Molecule: ribosomal RNA, 467 nt
Filed under: Arctopsyche shimianensis
Lineage: Eukaryota; Metazoa; Arthropoda; Insecta; Trichoptera; Hydropsychidae
Description: eukaryotic LSU rRNA
Source: RNAcentral
AUCAGGGGUAAACCUGUGGAACUCGAACGAUCGAACGGGGAGAUUCAUUCAUCGCCGCUCCGCGCGGGUCCGCGGCGGGGCGCUCGGCGGCGACGGUUCGUCCGUCGUCGCCGUCGCCUCGUCGCAGUCGGGCCUCCGGAGCGCGUGCACUUCUCCCUCAGUAUAACACCGCGACCCGUUCGUCGCGGCGGUCGAACGCGCCGUGCGGUUGUCCCGCUGUCGCCGGUCAAACGGUGGCGGCGGAGCCGCGGCGUCGCGGCCGCCUGCGGACGGUAGAGAACGAGGUUCGCGUCCGCCGCAUUCGUGCGGCGUCCGUGAUGCUGCGGCGGCGCCCCCCGCUCGGACCUCGGCGCGCAAGCGUCGUGGGCUCCGUGCGCCGGUUUUGGGCGUCGCGUUUUCGGCGGCAUCGUCUCGGACGGGACGCGUCCCGGUCUGCGGUGGUUUUGUUUCGGGCACUCACAGGACCC